This 424-nucleotide ribosomal RNA is filed under the name uncultured bacterium. RNAcentral describes it as "bacterial SSU rRNA". It matches the Rfam family "Bacterial small subunit ribosomal RNA", at positions 358 to 773 of the family's 1533-position model. The record is from RNAcentral.
GGAAUCUUCCGCAAUGGACGAAAGUCUGACGGAGCAACGCCGCGUGAGUGACGAAGGCCUUCGGGUCGUAAAGCUCUGUUGUUAGGGAAGAACAAGUACCGUUCGAAUAGGGCGGUACCUUGACGGUACCUAACCAGAAAGCCACGGCUAACUACGUGCCAGCAGCCGCGGUAAUACGUAGGUGGCAAGCGUUGUCCGGAAUUAUUGGGCGUAAAGCGCGCGCAGGCGGUCUUUUAAGUCUGAUGUGAAAGCCCACGGCUCAACCGUGGAGGGUCAUUGGAAACUGAAGGACUUGAGUGCAGAAGAGGAGAGUGGAAUUCCACGUGUAGCGGUGAAAUGCGUAGAUAUGUGGAGGAACACCAGUGGCGAAGGCGGCUCUCUGGUCUGUAACUGACGCUGAGGCGCGAAAGCGUGGGGAGCAAAC